Molecule: ribosomal RNA, 411 nt
Filed under: uncultured bacterium
Lineage: Bacteria
Description: bacterial SSU rRNA
Rfam family: Bacterial small subunit ribosomal RNA
Source: RNAcentral
GAACGAGAAAGUGGAGCAAUCCAUGAGUAAAGUGGCGACCGGGUGAGUAACACGUGACUAACCUACCUCCGAGUGGGGAAUAACUCCGGGAAACCGGGGCUAAUACCGCAUAACAUCGCGAGAUCAAAGCAGCAAUGCGCUUGGAGAGGGGGUCGCGGCUGAUUAGCUAGUUGGCGGGGUAACGGCCCACCAAGGCGAAGAUCGGUAUCCGGCCUGAGAGGGCGCACGGACACACUGGAACUGAAACACGGUCCAGACUCCUACGGGAGGCAGCAGUGGGGAAUUUUGCGCAAUGGGGGAAACCCUGACGCAGCAACGCCGCGUGGAGGAUGAAGCCCUUUGGGGCGUANACUCCUUUCGACUCGGACGAUAAUGACGGUACGAGUGGAAGAAGCACCGGCUAACUCUGUG